RNAcentral lists this ribosomal RNA (253 nucleotides) under uncultured bacterium. RNAcentral describes it as "partial 16S ribosomal RNA". It matches the Rfam family "Bacterial small subunit ribosomal RNA", at positions 524 to 776 of the family's 1533-position model. The record is from RNAcentral.
UACGGGGGGAGCAAGCGUUGUUCGGAUUUACUGGGCGUAAAGGGCUCGUAGGUGGCCAACUAAGUCAGACGUGAAAUCCCUCGGCUUAACCGGGGAACUGCGUCUGAUACUGGAUGGCUUGAGUUCGGGAGAGGGAUGCGGAAUUCCAGGUGUAGCGGUGAAAUGCGUAGAUAUCUGGAGGAACACCGGUGGCGAAGGCGGCAUCCUGGACCGACACUGACGCUGAGGAGCGAAAGCCAGGGGAGCAAACGGG